This 394-nucleotide long non-coding RNA is filed under the name Lathyrus oleraceus (garden pea). RNAcentral's name for it is "Pisum sativum (pea) long non-coding RNA (PSAT_LNC026894)". Lineage: Eukaryota; Viridiplantae; Streptophyta; Magnoliopsida; Fabales; Fabaceae. The record is from RNAcentral.
UUCACAGUGCUAAAUUAGAUAUAUAAACUAAGGUAGAAUAAAAAUAGAAUUAAAAUAAAAAAUAUUAAUAAAAAAAAGGAAAUACUAAACAUAUUAAACAUUUUUUAUUGUUUUGCUUAACUUUGUUUAAAAUAAAUUAAAAAAAAAAAGAAAAAAGAAAAGAAAAGAAAUGGAAACAGAGUAGCAGACUCGUUCUCUCCCUCGCUCUCUCCUCAAUCUCACAAACUCACUCUUUCCACCCAACGAAAUCUUCGUACGAAACUCUCUUCUCUCGUCCCUCUUACGAAAUCGCUCGUAAUCAUCUCUCAAGCCUUUCUCUCGAAGUCUUUCUACCUCAAAAUCGCUCAUCAACGAACCCUCUCACGCUCUCAAACUCAAAGAAUCACUCUCUCUC